CUCUACGGCCAUACCACCCUAAACGUGCCCAAUCCCAUCUAAUCUUGGAAGCAGGGUCGGGCCUGGUUAGCACUUGGAUGGGAGAAAGAGCAAAAACCCUUCUCCAAAAAGC
This 112-nucleotide ribosomal RNA is filed under the name Propithecus coquereli (Coquerel's sifaka). Lineage: Eukaryota; Metazoa; Chordata; Mammalia; Primates; Indriidae. The record is from RNAcentral.